RNAcentral lists this long non-coding RNA (897 nucleotides) under Marmota monax (woodchuck). Lineage: Eukaryota; Metazoa; Chordata; Mammalia; Rodentia; Sciuridae. The record is from RNAcentral.
CAAUUUGUUGUUAUUAAGACAUUUACAGUUUAGUCUCGAUGUACAGAAAUGUUGGAUUCAAUUAUUAUCUAAAAUAUAAUCAGUAGUUUUGUAAAAAAUUUACAGUUUCUGACAGUGGACAGUGAACUGGGUUUGGGGUGUAGGAUGAUAUGCUGAGGAGGUAGGAUGUGAGGAUAUAGAGUUAAUGUAUCUUAGGAAGUAUGAAGGAGAAAUGUAAUGAAGAGGGUUAGUAGCAAGAGAAUACACAGGAAGUAAUUUAGGGUAGGCAAGUAUGUGGGAUGACAGUAGAGUACAUAAAAGAAAACAUAUUUAGAAAAAUAUAGACGUUAAAACAGUAAAAUUUGGAGGGGGAAAGAAAAAUGAAAAAAUAAAAAGGAAAAGAAAAAAGGGCACAUACAACACCUCUAUAUUAUAUUAUUCAGAUGACUCAGUUUUGAAAAUCCUAUUUCACACAAAGUUCUUGGUUUCACACAUGUUGGGGAUGUGAGGGCCGGAGGAUAGAGGGGUAGAAGAGAAAAAACAAACAAACAACUGUAAAGGAAGAAGCCAAGGUUGUAGCUAGAUUUAGAGAUCCGUAUCUUUCCUGCUUCUCUUCUCAUCCAGUAGGCGGCAUGGUCUGUUGUAAGCUGGUGUCUCUGCCCUCUGGAUGGUGGAGGUAACCAGGGUGGGAAGACUGGUCCUAGGACAGGGCACUUGGAUGCACGGAGUGGCACCCACCAAUCCCUGCAGAAAGACUGCACCACAUGGGUCUCUCUUUGGGACCGCUCGCUUUGGGACCUCUGGCUCUGGGACCGCUCGCUUGUAUGACUUGAGCACCCAGUACUAUCUCCCUCUCUUGCCUGGAGAUUUCCCAGUUCCUGGUCUCUCUGUUAGGCUCCAAACUGAGCUCUGUCUCCU